GCCCACGUGCUGAAAUUGGUAGACAGGCUGGUUUGAGGGACCAGUGCCGGAAACGGCGUGCAGGUUCGAGUCCUGUCGUGGGCAUCA
Molecule: transfer RNA, 87 nt
Filed under: Gemmatimonadota bacterium
Lineage: Bacteria; Pseudomonadati; Gemmatimonadota
Description: Gemmatimonadetes bacterium (freshwater metagenome) tRNA-Leu
Rfam family: tRNA
About the family: Transfer RNA (tRNA) molecules are approximately 80 nucleotides in length. Their secondary structure includes four short double-helical elements and three loops (D, anti-codon, and T loops).
Source: RNAcentral